RNAcentral lists this ribosomal RNA (371 nucleotides) under uncultured bacterium. RNAcentral's name for it is "bacterial SSU rRNA". It matches the Rfam family "Bacterial small subunit ribosomal RNA", at positions 917 to 1314 of the family's 1533-position model. The record is from RNAcentral.
GGGCCCGCACAAGCGGUGGAGUAUGUGGUUUAAUUCGAUGCAACGCGAAGAACCUUACCAGGGUUUGACAUCCUGCGAAUCUCUUGGAAACGAGAGAGUGCCUUCGGGAACGCAGUGACAGGUGGUGCAUGGCUGUCGUCAGCUCGUGUCGUGAGAUGUUGGGUUAAGUCCCGCAACGAGCGCAACCCACGUCUUUAGUUGCCAGCAUUUAGUUGGGCACUCUAGAGAGACUGCCGGUGAUAAACCGGAGAAGGUGUGGAUGACGUCAAGUCCUCAUGGCCCUUACGGGAUGGGCUACACACGUGCUACAUGGCAGUGACAAUGGGUUACCCCCAAAAACUGUCUCAGUUCGGAUUGGAGUCUGCAACUCG